RNAcentral lists this non-coding RNA (21 nucleotides) under Caenorhabditis elegans. The record is from RNAcentral. Lineage: Eukaryota; Metazoa; Nematoda; Chromadorea; Rhabditida; Rhabditidae.
UAUCCAUGAUAUAUAAUGACC